GUAGGUGAACCUGCGGAAGGAUCAUUACAAAAGUUUUGCUUCUAGCAAAAGUCUUUUUUACAAAAAGAUCACACCUUGUCUAAUCGUUUCAUGUCUCUGGUAGUUUAGCGUUAUACUGGCCAAGUGCCCAGCUUUAGCGCGUCCUGUUGCUCAUUUUAGGGCAUUAGGGGGCUACCGCCGGGGAAACCUGGAUCUUUUAACACUUAAGUCUAUUUUUACUGACUGAAGUUUAUUAUCUAUGAUAAUGAAUUACAACUUUUGGCAACGGAUCUCUUGGCUCUC
RNAcentral lists this unclassified non-coding RNA (282 nucleotides) under rhizosphere metagenome. RNAcentral describes it as "partial ribosomal RNA internal transcribed spacer region". The record is from RNAcentral.